GAUUCUUCCUCAACAGAUCACUUACGUAACUUGCCUGCAAGGUAUUCCUGGCAUCCCCGGCUGCCCCCCAAAAAGGGGAGAAGCCCCCUCGCCACUUUCCACCCCGCCGGCGCGCGAGCGCCCCCGAGCACAGUGCAGGAGGCAGAUUUGUUCGAGAACAAAAGAACGCUUGCCAAUCGGGACGCGCUCCCGAGAACAAGGGGGAACCCCUCUUCGGGGAUUUGGAAAGACUUUUUUUCUUCCCUUGAGCGAUCGCCCUGGUGUCUGACACAUGCAUGGCAACUUUUCUGAGCAGAUUUCAAAUGCAGAAUCAGACUCUUCUGCAACGAAACGGGCUCCCAAAAGGCCGCAGGCCCGCAGAAGUUAAGGGGAACGGGGCCACCUCAGAGGCUCUGGGAGGCGGUGCGGGGUGUUCCGAGCGCUCGGGCUCAGGAUUCCGCUGCCCCAAGCCCCCCUCGGCCAAAGCCCACUUUUUCAGCCGGGACCGGGACUGAGGUGACUCCGGGUUCCAGUAGUUCCCCGACCCAGGCGCGGCGUUCUUCUCAGCUCUCCCGGCAAAAAGCCAGUGGCGAACGAUCCCUUCUGCCCAGGACUGUGUAUUUAGUGCACUUAAAAGAGGGACAAAUCUUUCA
Ochotona princeps (American pika) is the source of this 632-nucleotide long non-coding RNA. RefSeq lists it as uncharacterized. The record is from RefSeq and is a predicted model, not a curated record. NCBI's taxonomy places the organism in Eukaryota, Metazoa, Chordata, Mammalia, Lagomorpha, Ochotonidae. The transcript has 2 exons.